UCCCUUGAAAGGGAGGUAAAAUUCUAUUUUAAAAGGAUUUAAAAUUAAAACUCUAAAUUCAUGGCUAUAAACAAAGGAUUAGAUACCCUUCUAUACUUGAAGACUCAACUUCAAGUAGUAAAAGCUAUUUUUUCGACAAUUAAAGGGCUUGGCGGCUUUUCUUAUAACCAGGGGAGUUUGUGUUAUUAUCCACAGCACGCCUUUUACCCUACUUAAUUCUAGCUUGUGUACCGCCGUCUCAAUACCCUUUGUAGAGUAAAUUACAAUCAGGGAUAAAAACGCCAGGCCAUGGUGCAGCACAAUUAAGGAAAUUACAAACUACAAUUUGCUAAAAAAUGGAAUUAGAGUUAAAAUUUUAAUAAAAGUGGACUUGGAAGUAAUUACUAGAUUAGAAUACAGUAAUAAAUUUUAAACUAUAAGUGUACAUAUCGCCCGUCACUCU
RNAcentral lists this ribosomal RNA (442 nucleotides) under Tylos capensis. Its description in RNAcentral is "partial 12S small subunit ribosomal RNA". Lineage: Eukaryota; Metazoa; Arthropoda; Malacostraca; Isopoda; Tylidae. The record is from RNAcentral.